This 1110-nucleotide small RNA is filed under the name Cryptococcus neoformans H99. RNAcentral's name for it is "Cryptococcus neoformans var. grubii H99 hypothetical RNA". The record is from RNAcentral. Lineage: Eukaryota; Fungi; Basidiomycota; Tremellomycetes; Tremellales; Cryptococcaceae.
ACAGAAGCGAGAGAAGAACGACUUCCUAUCGGUUUUAUACAUCAUGCUCUAGAACUCGUACAAAUCAGGUCUAUCAUGCCUCAGCGCAAUUUUCGGUGGCUGAUCUUUCCCUUGCGGUCCAUGAUCAUGCGUGUGUGAGUGCGCGUGGUCAUGCUUGACUUCGUCUCCUCCUUUACCAACAACGAUAACCUCCUCAUCUCCUCCGAAUCUUACUCGAGCCCGAGGUUUUGACGGUUUCUUAUCCUGGUCGGCUCCUCUUGGUUUAUCAUCGACUCUUGCCCGGGAUGUGGAGGCAAGAGCCGACUGAGAGGGUUCGAUACCACUAGAAGGUACUGUCAGUGUAGGAUGAGAGUGUGUGUGCGAGUGCGUCGCGUCAGCUCCGUCCAAAGCUUCUCUCACAUCUCCUCCAGUCCGUCUCUCCCCCACACCUCCUUCCACACCCAGAUGGACCGUCUCCACCACAAACCGUUUCCUCUUCAGUCUGAACCCAAGAUUAUUUUCGCCCGCACCGCCACCGCCGCCUGAAGAUGACGCCGACGUUGAUGAUUGGGAAACGCCGAGUAAAGUAGAGUGUUUCAAGGUAGAAGGAAGAAGCGCGUGGGUGGUUGGAUAGGAGUGGAGGGUGAGAAGACCGUGGGUUGGGAAGAGGGGUGGUAAUCGAACCCCUUGAGUUCAACACAUGCGUCCACACCCCAUGAUAGACGCUUUACAAUACUUUCUCUUUCACUACCCAUCGAAAGGAUGAGACUCGCCGGAAGCGUUAUCAGAGCUGAAGCUGGCUUGAUCUUCAACAGCUCACGAACAGAAUGAAUAAAUCGAUGUAUUUCCUGAAACCGGAUACGAGGACAUCAGCCACAUUCAUCUGUUCUCGAGAACAGACUCACGUUCAUGGAAAUGUUCCCCCAAUCAAGACUUCCCAGCUCAUGCACAGCCAGCCUCGUCGCUCUGCCUUUAUCGGCAUGCUCCAACUUCUCCCACACACCUUUCAACACUUCAUCCAGAACACAUGAUCGAGAAGUACUCGGCUCAUCAGAGUUGAUGGCCACGUAUGACAUUUGACCAGACUCUUGCAUCAUGGAAAGGGCUUCCGAUGGGAUGGUAGUCAUAAGA